RNAcentral lists this ribosomal RNA (253 nucleotides) under uncultured bacterium. RNAcentral's name for it is "partial 16S ribosomal RNA". It matches the Rfam family "Bacterial small subunit ribosomal RNA", at positions 524 to 776 of the family's 1533-position model. The record is from RNAcentral.
UACGUAGGGGGCCAGCGUUGUCCGGAAUCAUUGGGCGUAAAGCGCGCGUAGGCGGCCAGGCAAGUCCGGUGUGAAAGUCACAGGCUCAACCUGUGAAUGCCGCUGGAAACUGUCUGGCUAGAGUCCGGAAGGGGCGAGUGGAAUUCCUGGUGUAGCGGUGAAAUGCGCAGAUAUCAGGAGGAACACCGGUGGCGAAGGCGGGUCUCUGGGCCGUAACUGACGCUGAGGAGCGAAAGCGUGGGGAGCGAACAGG